CCUACGGGGGGCAGCAGUGAGGAAUAUUGGUCAAUGGCCGGAAGGCUGAACCAGCCAAGCCGCGUGAAGGUCAGUGCCCCAUGGGCGUUAAACUUCUUUUGUGCGGGAGCAAUAAUGGUCACGUGUGGCCAGACGAGAGUACCGUACGAAUAAGCAUCGGCUAACUCCGUGCCAGCAGCCGCGGUGAUACGGGGGAUGCAAGCGUUAUCCGGAUUUUUUGGGUUUAAAGGGUGCGUAGGCUGUGAGGUAAGUCAGCGGUGAAAUGACUCCGCUCAACGGGGUGAAGUGCCAUUGAUACUGCCUUGCUGGAAUGCGGAUGACGUGGGAGGAAUGUGUGGUGUAGCGGUGAAAUGCAUAGAUAUCACACAGAACACCGAUUGCGAAGGCAUCUCACGAAUCCGCGAUUGACGCUGAUGCACGAAAGCGUGGGUAUCAAACAGGAUUAGAUACCCUAGUAGUC
Molecule: ribosomal RNA, 460 nt
Filed under: uncultured bacterium
Lineage: Bacteria
Description: partial 16S ribosomal RNA
Rfam family: Bacterial small subunit ribosomal RNA
Source: RNAcentral